UAAUUAUUAAUAUUGCAUAUUAUCGGAAGAAAAUUUUAUUAUUAAUGAAAAAUAGAAAUAAAAGGUAGAAGAAUAAAUAGUUUUAUUGUUUCAUAAUAAAAAUAAUUAUUUUUGGAGUUGAUAUGUCGUCUUUUAUGAUAACUUUUUUAGAAGAAAAUAUUAGAAAAUUAUAUGUUUAAUUAGAAUGUUUAGGAUAUUAAUAAUUUGUAGUGUUUAUUAUUGUAGUUUUUCAACUUGUUCUUUUUUAGUUAUUGUUAUUUUUAUUAUUAUUUAGUAAAUUUUUAUUAAAUAAAAAAUUUUUGAAUUAGUAAAUUAAAUAAAUAAGAUUAAUUGUUAUAAUUUAAUAAAAGAACUUGAAGUCGUGAUCAAAUGUUUUUUAAAGACUUAGGUUUUAAAUUAAAGCUGACUUCUGCCCUAUGAUGAUUGUAAAUGGCCGUCUUAGCGUGAGGACACUAAGGUAGCAAAAUAAUUUGUGCUUUUAAUGGGUUCCAGUAUGAAUGGAGUUAUUGGUUGGUUCUUUUUAUAUUUUAUUGUUGAAUUUAAUAUCUAUUUAAUAAAAAAUAGGUAUACUUAUACAAAGAUAAGUCUUCGGAAAUUCUAUUAUCAAUAUUUCAUGAGUUAUGUUGGUAAGUUUUCUAGGGUAGAAUAUUAUAUAAUUUUUUAUUACUAUUGAUAUUUAAAAGAAUUUCUUCGGAGUUAACAGAAAAUCAUACCUGAUCUAGUUCUUAUAGUAAGGUUAGUUUUACAUCGAUGUUGUAUUCCAAUAUUCUAAAAAAGGAGAAAGUUUAGUAAUUUAAGAUUGUUCUUCUUUUAAAUAAUUGGACUUGAUAUUAGUUUAAUUCAUUGUGAAAUAGAAUUGUUUAUCUUGAUAAGUAUUUUUUAUUAAGAUGUUGAGUACGAAAGGAAAGACAUAUGAAUUUGAAGUUUUAUAAAAUUUAU
This 939-nucleotide ribosomal RNA is filed under the name Rhabdias kafunata. RNAcentral's name for it is "16S ribosomal RNA". The record is from RNAcentral. Lineage: Eukaryota; Metazoa; Nematoda; Chromadorea; Rhabditida; Rhabdiasidae.